Molecule: ribosomal RNA, 301 nt
Filed under: uncultured bacterium
Lineage: Bacteria
Description: partial 16S ribosomal RNA
Rfam family: Bacterial small subunit ribosomal RNA
Source: RNAcentral
CAGCAGCCACGGUAAUACGUAGGUGGCAAGCGUUAUCCGGAAUUAUUGGGCGUAAAGCGCGCGUGGGCGGUUUUUUAAGUCUGAUGUGAAAGCCCACGGCUCAACCGUGGAGGGUCAUUGGGAACUGGAAAACUUGAGUGCAGAAGAGGAAAGUGGAAUUCCAUGUGUAGCGGUGAAAUGCGCAGAGAUAUGGAGGAACACCAGUGGCGAAGGCGACUUUCUGGUCUGUAACUGACGCUGAUGUGCGAAAGCGUGGGGAUCAAACAGGAUUAGAUACCCGUGUAGUCCCUGUCUCUUAUAC